This 314-nucleotide signal recognition particle RNA is filed under the name Octodon degus (degu). Its description in RNAcentral is "Metazoan signal recognition particle RNA (ENSODEG00000025870.1)". It matches the Rfam family "Metazoan signal recognition particle RNA". Rfam says of the family: The signal recognition particle (SRP) is a universally conserved ribonucleoprotein. It is involved in the co-translational targeting of proteins to membranes. Lineage: Eukaryota; Metazoa; Chordata; Mammalia; Rodentia; Octodontidae. The record is from Rfam by way of RNAcentral.
GCUGGGCGUGGUGGCGCAUGCCUGUAGUCCCAGCUACUCGGGAGGCUGAGGCGGGAUGAUCGUUGAGUCCAGGAGUUCUGGACUGCAGUGUGCUGUGCCGACCAGGUGUCCACACUAAGUUCAACAUCAAUAUGGUGACCUCCUGGGAGUGGGGGACCACCAGGUUGCCUAAGGAGGGGUGAACCGGCCCGGGUCAGAAUCGGAGCAGGUUAAAACUCCCGUGCUGAUCUGUAGAAAAAUGGAUGCAUCUUGGUACCAUAAUCUUAAGUGAAAUAAAUCAGAUACGCAAGCUUAGAUAUCACAUGGUGUCUUCU